Molecule: long non-coding RNA, 1088 nt
Filed under: Notechis scutatus (mainland tiger snake)
Lineage: Eukaryota; Metazoa; Chordata; Lepidosauria; Squamata; Elapidae
Description: lncRNA (ENSNSUG00000000208.1)
Source: RNAcentral
GUUUCCGUUUGCCUUCUGGUGAACGUCAAAUGUUGAUUUUCCUCUCUCUCUCUCUCUCUGGGACACGUUUUUUAUUUUUAUUUUUUUCCCCUUCCUGCAGGACUCAUCAUGUUCCAGAAAGGCCAGGCUCCCACGCCUCCCCCCUACGAGAUUUUCUUCUGUUUUGGGGAAGAGUGGCCCGACCAGAAACCGAAGGAGAAAAAGCUGAUCACAGUGCAGGUUGUCCCCGUAGCCGCCCGGCUCCUUUUAGAAAUGUUCUCCGGGGAACUCUCCUGGUCGGCCGACAGCGUCCGCUUGCAGAUUUCGCACCCGGAUCUCAAAGACAAAAUGGUCUUGCAAUUCAAAGAACUUCACCAGCUCUGGCAAAUGCAACAAAACAUGCCAGAGGGGGCUCCCAGCAGCUGGGAAAUGCAGACCGGGGGCAACGGCAUGCAGCAGUGAGACGCCAAGAGAUAAUCCCCCAAGGCCCACCCCACCCGGUGGCAUUUGGACACCAUCCCACGGGGCGUGAAAAGUCCGGCAGGGUCUGUCCCACCUGCCCCACUGAGCCAUUUCUGGGGAGGGGGGAUCUCUUGGCGCAGCCCAGCUUCCGGCUUCUGACGACCACCGGAGCACGUUUUUAAGAGAAGCACUUGUGGGCACUCCAGAGGUCACUUAGAGGAGGUGGGCCGGCCAUUUUCUCCUGCUGCAAAGCAAGAGAACCGGUGAUGCAUCGCUUGGCGGUAUCUGCAUGACAUGGAAAACUUGAACUCGGAACCGAAGCGGGCUCAAUUCGAAAGAAAGGCGCUCGGCUUCUUGCCAGGAUGGACGCCAAAAAAAAAAAAACGGAUUGAAGUUUGGGGUCGCUGCAGGUUUGUUGGUUUGGGGCCCGGAGAAGGACAAUCUUGCAGCUGAUAUAAGGACCCUACCGUCUUUUGAGCCCACCACCCCUCCAUUGCAAUGAGGAGGAAACAUGGAAGCCUCCGUGACUUCAGUGUUUUAAAUUUGAAACGGAACAUCAUGCAGGAUGGAGACGUUGGCCUGGGGAACGUGGCAAGGUUGCACCCUACUUUGAAACUCAAGAGAAUCGUGAUUAAAAAAUUGCCCCC